AAGACAAUGAAUCUACGACAGAACACUAGUUCCUAGGGCGGCGUUUCUAAACAACAACAUUUCCGUUUCACCAAACCAUAGAAUUUAAGAUAUAGCGUCUUGCUUAAAUGCUUGUUGCAUGGAGAAAAUGCAGUAUCAUAAAACUUUGAAGGGAUACAAAUAUUUGAUAUACUACUGGAGGUAACUGCAAGAAGGAGUGAUAUGAAGCCAAGAAGCAUCAACCCUGAAGACAACAAUCACAUCAUGAUGAUGAUGAUGAUGAUGAUGAUGAUGAUGAUGAUAAAGAUGUAGCAAUUACCUUCUUUCAUUUUCUCAACAGCUGCAAGCAUUGGCUUGCGUUUCAUUUUCUUCAACCACUGGAAGAACAUUCAUUAUAAGUUAUAAGAUCAUGUUGAUGUUCAUAUAA
Non-coding RNA from Lactuca sativa (garden lettuce), 406 nucleotides. The record is from RefSeq and is a predicted model, not a curated record. NCBI's taxonomy places the organism in Eukaryota, Viridiplantae, Streptophyta, Magnoliopsida, Asterales, Asteraceae.